RNAcentral lists this ribosomal RNA (516 nucleotides) under Heterolepisma sp. highlandi_group gbs004492. RNAcentral describes it as "partial 16S ribosomal RNA". It matches the Rfam family "Bacterial large subunit ribosomal RNA", at positions 1823 to 2600 of the family's 2925-position model. Lineage: Eukaryota; Metazoa; Arthropoda; Insecta; Zygentoma; Lepismatidae. The record is from RNAcentral.
GUCCUCUAUGUUAGUAGAGUUGGAGGUCUAACCUGCCCAGUGAUAUAUUUUAACGGCCGCGGUAUCUUGACCGUGCAAAGGUAGCAUAAUAAUUAGUCUUUUAAUUGGGGGCUUGAAUGAAUGGUUGGACGAGGGGAGUGCUGUCUCAGAUAAAUUAUUAUGAAUUUAAUCUUUUGGUGAGGAAGCCUAAAUGAAUUAGGGGGACGAUAAGACCCUGUAGAUCUUUACAUGUCUUAACUUAUUGGGUAAGUGGUUGAUUUUUAAGAAUAAAUUUAUGAUGUGUUUUGCUGGGGUGGCAGGGAGAUAUUUAUAACUCUUUUUUAUUAAUUCAUUUAUUUAUGUUUUGUUGAUCCAUGUUUUAUGAUUUUAGGAUUAAGAUACCUCAGGGAUAACAGCGUAAUCUUUCUUGAGAGUUCUUAUCGACGGGGGGGGUUGCGACCUCGAUGUUGGAUUAGGAUUUAAAUUUUGGUGUAGAAGCUUUAAUGAUUGAGUCUGUUCGACUAUUAAAAUCCUACA